Molecule: ribosomal RNA, 508 nt
Filed under: uncultured bacterium
Lineage: Bacteria
Description: partial 16S ribosomal RNA
Rfam family: Bacterial small subunit ribosomal RNA
Source: RNAcentral
GAUGAACGCUAGCUACAGGCCUAACACAUGCAAGUCGAGGGGAAACGAUAGAGAAAGCUUGCUUUUUCUAGGCGUCGACCGGCGCACGGGUGAGUAACGCGUAUCCAACCUGCCCAUCACUUGGGGAUAACCUUGCGAAAGUAAGACUAAUACCCAAUGAUAUCUCUAGAAGACAUCUGAAGGAGAUUAAAGAAUUAUCGGUGAUGGAUGGGGAUGCGUCUGAUUAGCUUGUUGGCGGGGUAACGGCCCACCAAGGCGACGAUCAGUAGGGGUGCUAGGAGGAAGGUCCCCCAAAUUGGAACUGAGGCACGGUCCAAGCUCCUACGGGAGGCAGCAGUGAGGAAUAUUGGUCAAUGGACGAGAGUCUGAACCAGCCAAGUAGCGUGCAGGAUGACGGCCCUAUGGGUUGUAAACUGCUUUUAUAAGGGAAUAAAGUGAGUCUCGUGAGACUUUUUGCAUGUACCUUAUGAAUAAGGACCGGCUAAUUCCGUGCCAGCCGCCGCCGUAA